CCCUGUAAACUGCAUUUUCCUCAUUAAGAAACCAGAGCAAAGGAUAAAUACUUGCCAGUUGUCUCACCUUAAAAGAGAAUCUCAGAUUCCUGCAAUACUGUUGACCUAUUAUUCAUCAAGAGGAAUUUUUUUUCUUACUUUAUGAAGCAAUUCUUUGGAAGUUUGGUUGGUAUAACACUGAAUAUGCAAGUUAAUUUAGAAAACAACUUGAAAGGAAGGCUGACAGUUGAUUUUCAUAGGAGGAGGGGAAACCAGAAGUAAAACUGCCCAGAAGAGGGUGGACUGACCACCCUCUGCCUACUGCAUCAAGUCUCAGCCUGUGUAUAGGCCAACUUUGGCAUCCAGGAACCUUGUAUACACUAUGCCAGGAUAUUUCAUGCUGAUCUAAUAUAAAUAUAAACUCUCAUUUUGAUAUCCUCCAUUCCACUUGUUCUAUUACCCCUUCACCCUAGUCCAAUUCUGCUAUACAUUGAUGCCUAAACAUUAUUUCAAAGACACCUAUUAACAUUCACCAAGUAACAUUCAUUUUUCAAUAAAAAUUUCCAUGAAUGCA
This 553-nucleotide long non-coding RNA is filed under the name Monodelphis domestica (gray short-tailed opossum). RNAcentral describes it as "lncRNA (ENSMODG00000036878.1)". The record is from RNAcentral. Lineage: Eukaryota; Metazoa; Chordata; Mammalia; Didelphimorphia; Didelphidae.